RNAcentral lists this ribosomal RNA (448 nucleotides) under uncultured prokaryote. Its description in RNAcentral is "bacterial SSU rRNA". It matches the Rfam family "Bacterial small subunit ribosomal RNA", at positions 355 to 796 of the family's 1533-position model. The record is from RNAcentral.
UCGAGAAUUUUUCUCAAUGGGGGAAACCCUGAAGGAGCGACGCCGCGUGGAGGAUGAAGGGCCUCGGUCCGUAAACUCCUGUCACCCCAGAACAAGGGUUGCAACCCAAUACGUUGCAGCUUGAUGGUAUGGGGAGAGGAAGGCACGGCUAACUCUGUGCCAGCAGCCGCGGUAAUACAGAGGUGCCAAGCGUUGUUCGGAUUUACUGGGCGUAAAGGGUGCGUAGGUGGUUCAACAAGUCAAAUGUGAAAUCCUGCAGCUCAACUGCAGAACUGCAUUUGAAACUGUUGAACUAGAGGACUAGAGAGGAAAUCGGAAUUCUCGGUGUAGCAGUGAAAUGCGUAGAUAUCGAGAGGAACACCAGUGGCGAAAGCGGAUUUCUGGAUAGUAUCUGACACUGAGGCACGAAAGCUAGGGGAGCGAACGGGAUUAGAUACCCCCGUAGUCC